UACGGAGGAUGCAAGCGUUAUCCGGAUUCAUUGGGUUUAAAGGGUGCGCAGGCGGAUUGGUAAGUCAGGGGUGAAAUCCCACAGCUCAACUGUGGAACUGCCUUUGAUACUGUCAGUCUAGAGUAUAGUUGAAGUUGGCGGAAUGUGUCAUGUAGCGGUGAAAUGCUUAGAUAUGACACAGAACACCGAUCGCGAAGGCAGCUAGCUAAGCUAUAACUGACGCUCAUGCACGAAAGCGUGGGGAUCAAACAGGAUUAGAUACCCUGGUAGUCCACGCUGUAAACGAUGAUUACUCGAUGUUGGCGAUACACAGUCAGCGUCUGAGCGAAAGCAAUAAGUAAUCCACCUGGGGAGUACGCCGGCAACGGUGAA
RNAcentral lists this ribosomal RNA (372 nucleotides) under uncultured bacterium. RNAcentral's name for it is "bacterial SSU rRNA". It matches the Rfam family "Bacterial small subunit ribosomal RNA", at positions 524 to 898 of the family's 1533-position model. The record is from RNAcentral.